CCUACGGGAGGCAGCAGUGAGGAAUAUUGGUCAAUGGGCUUACGCCUGAACCAGCCAAGUCGCGUGAGGGAAGACUGCCCUAUGGGUUGUAAACCUCUUUUAUAUGGGAAUAAAAUGUUCCACGGGUGGGAUUUUGUAUGUACCAUAUGAAUAAGGAUCGGCUAACUCCGUGCCAGCAGCCGCGGUAAUACGGAGGAUGCGAGCGUUAUCCGGAUUUAUUGGGUUUAAAGGGUGCGUAGGCGGGCUUUUAAGUCAGCGGUAAAAAUUCGGGGCUCAACCCCGUCCGGCCGUUGAAACUGGGGGCCUUGAGUGGGCGAGAAGAAGGCGGAAUGCGUGGUGUAGCGGUGAAAUGCAUAGAUAUCACGCAGAACCCCGAUUGCGAAGGCAGCCUUCCGGCGCCCUACUGACGCUGAGGCACGAAAGUGCGGGGAUCGAACAGGAUUAGAUACCCCUGUAGUC
RNAcentral lists this ribosomal RNA (459 nucleotides) under uncultured bacterium. Its description in RNAcentral is "partial 16S ribosomal RNA". It matches the Rfam family "Bacterial small subunit ribosomal RNA", at positions 338 to 795 of the family's 1533-position model. The record is from RNAcentral.